GGGGGGGGCAAGCGUUGUUCGGAAUUACUGGGCGUAAAGGGCGCGUAGGCGGUGCUCUAAGUUAGAUGUGAAAACUCUGGGCUCAACCCAGAGCCUGCAUCUAAAACUGGAGUGCUAGAGUUCUGGAGGGGGUAGCGGAAUUCCUGGUGUAGCGGUGAAAUGCGUAGAUAUCAGGAGGAACACCGGUGGCGAAGGCGGCUACCUGGACAGAAACUGACGCUGAGGCGCGAAAGCUAGGGGAGCAAACAGGAUUAGAUACCCUGGUAGUCCUAGCCCUAAACGAUGGAUACUUGGUGUGACUGGGAUUGAAUCCAGUCGUGCCGAAGCUAACGCAUUAAGUAUCCCGCCUGGGGAGUACGGUCGCAAGGCUG
RNAcentral lists this ribosomal RNA (371 nucleotides) under uncultured bacterium. Its description in RNAcentral is "bacterial SSU rRNA". It matches the Rfam family "Bacterial small subunit ribosomal RNA", at positions 527 to 896 of the family's 1533-position model. The record is from RNAcentral.